UACAGAGGUCCCAAGCGUUGUUCGGAUUCACUGGGCGUAAAGGGUGCGUAGGUGGCCAGGUAAGUUCGGUGUGAAAGCUCGGAGCUUAACUCCGAAAUGUCAUUGAAUACUAUCUGGCUGGAGGGUCGGAGGGGAGAGGUGGAAUUCCUGGUGUAGCGGUGGAAUGCGCAGAUAUCAGGAGGAACACCGAUGGCGAAGGCAGGUCUCUGGGCCACUACUGACGCUGAGAAGCGAAAGCAUGGGGGAGCGAACAGG
RNAcentral lists this ribosomal RNA (255 nucleotides) under uncultured bacterium. Its description in RNAcentral is "partial 16S ribosomal RNA". It matches the Rfam family "Bacterial small subunit ribosomal RNA", at positions 524 to 776 of the family's 1533-position model. The record is from RNAcentral.